This 1433-nucleotide long non-coding RNA is filed under the name Homo sapiens (human). Its description in RNAcentral is "non-protein coding lnc-BCL2L13-4:1". The record is from RNAcentral. Lineage: Eukaryota; Metazoa; Chordata; Mammalia; Primates; Hominidae.
GAAUCCCAAGCAAAGAUGAGGAGAAAAGACUUGAGCCCAAAUCCUCUGCAGACUGCACAUAGCACACGUAACAAAACUGGGCAAGGGUCUCCCUUAGCCGUGGGCCCAUGCAGCUAGGAACCCAGUCCCCAGAGAUUGAGGCAGUGACCGAAAGCUUUGGCAACCAAUAACUGCUUCAUUUCCCACCAGGUUCAGAAUGAACUAUUUACAGGUGGGAAGGACAGCAUUAAGUCAUGAUGCUAGAAAGCCCUCUGCUCCUCCAGCUCCAAGCCAGAUUGGUCACACUCCCUACCUCAGCCACGUGCACUUCAUAGCUCCGUGGGGUGGCGACAUAGACUGGCAGUUACCUGGUACUUCAACACCCUCUGCUUGAGACACUCAGCCAGCUCCUUGGCCCUGGGCUCAGCAACACAGGCCCCAGAGGGAGCUGGAGAGGAUGGCUGUAAGCACCGCCCCUCAGAAGGAAGCAAGAGGGAGACUCAGUAGCCCCCUGGGGGGCAGAGCAGUCAGAGCCAAGGGGAGGAGUGGGGGACUGGGUAGGACUGGGUAGAGGUGGGGCAGAGAGGGCAAGUACACAUGCAGGGUUAUGGAGGUUAGGGAGGUUAUGGAGGUUAGGGAGCUUAUGGAGGUUAGGGAGGUUAAGGAGGUUAGGGAAGUUAUGGAGGUUAGGGAGGUUAUGGAGGUUAGGGAGGUUAGGGAGGUUAUGGAGGUUAUGGAGGUUAGGGAGGUUAUGGAGGUUAGGGAGGUUAGGGAGGUGAGGGAGGUUAUGGAGGUUAUGGAGGUUAUGGAGGUUAGGGAGGUUAUGGAGGUUAGGGAGGUUAUGGAGGUUAGGGAAGUUAUGGAGGUUAUGGAGGUUAGGGAGGUUAUGGAGGUUAGGGAGGUUAUGGAGGUUAGGGAGGUUAUGGAGGUUAGGGAGGUUAUGGAGGUUAGGGAGGUUAGGGAAGUUAUGGAGGUUAGGGAGGUUAUGGAGGUUAUGGAGGUUAGGGAGGUUAUGGAGGUUAGGGAGGUUAGGGAGGUUAGGGAAGUUAUGGAGGUUAGGGAGGUUAUGGAGGUUAGGGAGGUUAUGGAGGUUAGGGAGGUUAGGGAGGUUAUGGAGGUUAGGGAGGUUAGGGAGGUUAUGGAGGUUAGGGAGGUGAGGGAGGUUAUGGAGGUUAGGGAGGUUAGGGAAGUUAUGGAGGUUAGGGAGAUUAUGGAGGUGAGGGAGGUUAUGGAGGUUAGGGAGAUUAUGGAGGUUAGGGAGGUUAUGGAGGUUAGGGAGGUUAUGGAGGUUAGGGAGGUUAGGGAGGUGAGGGAGGUUAUGGAGGUGAGGGAGGUUAUGGAGGUUAGGGAGGUUAGGGAAGUUAUGGAGGUUAGGGAGGUUAUGGAGGAUGGCAGCAGAGUCCAAGAAAAGAACUUAAGUAGUGUCCUCAAAAGUAUCCAGCCUGGAGCCCUGC